This is a long non-coding RNA of Canis lupus familiaris (dog), 478 nucleotides long. RefSeq lists it as uncharacterized. Lineage: Eukaryota; Metazoa; Chordata; Mammalia; Carnivora; Canidae. The record is from RefSeq and is a predicted model, not a curated record. The transcript is spliced from 3 exons.
GUAGGCUGCAGCUCGAGUGAGCAAUGCCAUUUCUGCAUAACGUCGAAGAUGCUCGAAGAGGCAGAAACUAGGGUUUAUGAGGUUAGAGUCGUACCUGCUGUAAGCUUGCUGCUAGAGAGGAGUGCGCUUUGAAAGAAUAUUUAUGUAAUUUCCGAGAUAUGAUGACUAAUUCUACAGUGAAAAGCAUUCGGGGAACAGCCAACCUGCUUCUAGAACUGCUUUUCCUGAGGUACCCACCUUUAAGAAAUAACGCCAUCUUCAUCAAAUUUUCUAAAGCAAACUGGAGACUAAGGGUGUCGAGGUGGCUACCAGGGAUGACGAGGGUGUUGCUUGCUCAGGACAAGAAUGAAAACAUAAGGUACAUGACUGCACAUAUCUGAGAAUGCAUCCUUUUUUUAUUCCACUGCAAACUUCAUUUUCCCCUUACCCGAACCAAGUAAAAUAAAUUAAAAAUAAAUUUUGACAUCUGACUACAGAC